RNAcentral lists this ribosomal RNA (296 nucleotides) under Fusarium equiseti. RNAcentral describes it as "partial small subunit ribosomal RNA". It matches the Rfam family "Eukaryotic small subunit ribosomal RNA", at positions 1444 to 1738 of the family's 1831-position model. The record is from RNAcentral. Lineage: Eukaryota; Fungi; Ascomycota; Sordariomycetes; Hypocreales; Nectriaceae.
UUUGAGGCAAUAACAGGUCUGUGAUGCCCUUAGAUGUUUGGGCCGCACGCGCGCUACACUGACAGAGCCAGCGAGUACUCCCUUGGCCGGAAGGCCCGGGUAAUCUUGUUAAACUCUGUCGUGCUGGGGAUAGAGCAUUGCAAUUAUUGCUCUUCAACGAGGAAUCCCUAGUAAGCGCAAGUCAUCAGCUUGCGUUGAUUACGUCCCUGCCCUUUGUACACACCGCCCGUCGCUACUACCGAUUGAAUGGCUCAGUGAGGCUUCCGGACUGGCCCAGAGAGGUGCGGCAACGACCA